Molecule: ribosomal RNA, 395 nt
Filed under: uncultured bacterium
Lineage: Bacteria
Description: partial 16S ribosomal RNA
Rfam family: Bacterial small subunit ribosomal RNA
Source: RNAcentral
AUACGUAGGGGGCGAGCGUUGUCCGGAAUGAUUGGGCGUAAAGGGCGCGUAGGCGGCCCGGUAAGUCUGGAGUGAAAGUCCUGUUUUUAAGAUGGGAAUUGCUUUGGAUACUGUCGGGCUUGAGUGCAGGAGAGGUAAGUGGAAUUCCCAGUGUAGCGGUGAAAUGCGUAGAGAUUAGGAGGAACACCAGGGGCGAAGGCGGCUUUCUGGACUGAAACUGACGCUGAGGUACGAAAGCGUGGGGAGCAAACAGGAUUAGAUACCCUGGUAGUCCACGCCGUAAACGAUGAGCACUAGGUGUCGGGCUCGCGAGAGUUCGGUGCCGUAGUUAACGCAUUAAGUGCUCCGCCUGGGGAGUACGCACGCAAGUGUGAAACUCAAAGGAAUUGACGGGG